RNAcentral lists this ribosomal RNA (1484 nucleotides) under Pseudomonas gessardii. RNAcentral describes it as "bacterial SSU rRNA". It matches the Rfam family "Bacterial small subunit ribosomal RNA". The record is from RNAcentral. Lineage: Bacteria; Pseudomonadati; Pseudomonadota; Gammaproteobacteria; Pseudomonadales; Pseudomonadaceae.
ACGGGCGAGCCAGCAGUAUAACUGUGUAAAGGUUUAGCGGUAGAGAGAAGCUUGCUUCUCUUGAGAGCGGCGGACGGGUGAGUAAUGCCUAGGAAUCUGCCUGGUAGUGGGGGAUAACGUUCGGAAACGGACGCUAAUACCGCAUACGUCCUACGGGAGAAAGCAGGGGACCUUCGGGCCUUGCGCUAUCAGAUGAGCCUAGGUCGGAUUAGCUAGUUGGUGAGGUAAUGGCUCACCAAGGCGACGAUCCGUAACUGGUCUGAGAGGAUGAUCAGUCACACUGGAACUGAGACACGGUCCAGACUCCUACGGGAGGCAGCAGUGGGGAAUAUUGGACAAUGGGCGAAAGCCUGAUCCAGCCAUGCCGCGUGUGUGAAGAAGGUCUUCGGAUUGUAAAGCACUUUAAGUUGGGAGGAAGGGUUGUAGAUUAAUACUCUGCAAUUUUGACGUUACCGACAGAAUAAGCACCGGCUAACUCUGUGCCAGCAGCCGCGGUAAUACAGAGGGUGCAAGCGUUAAUCGGAAUUACUGGGCGUAAAGCGCGCGUAGGUGGUUUGUUAAGUUGGAUGUGAAAUCCCCGGGCUCAACCUGGGAACUGCAUUCAAAACUGACUGACUAGAGUAUGGUAGAGGGUGGUGGAAUUUCCUGUGUAGCGGUGAAAUGCGUAGAUAUAGGAAGGAACACCAGUGGCGAAGGCGACCACCUGGACUAAUACUGACACUGAGGUGCGAAAGCGUGGGGAGCAAACAGGAUUAGAUACCCUGGUAGUCCACGCCGUAAACGAUGUCAACUAGCCGUUGGAAGCCUUGAGCUUUUAGUGGCGCAGCUAACGCAUUAAGUUGACCGCCUGGGGAGUACGGCCGCAAGGGUUAAAACUCAAAUGAAUUGACGGGGGGCCCCGCACAAGCGGGUGGAGCAUGUGGUUUAAUUCGAAGCAACGCGAAGAACCUUACCAGGCUCUUGACAUCCAAUGAACUUUUCAAGAGAUAGAUUGGGUGCCUUUCGGAAACAUUGAGAACAAGGUUGCUUGCAUGGCCUGGUCGUUCAGCCUUCGUGGUCCGUGAAGAAUGUUGGGUUAAGUUCUCCUGAUAACCGAGGCGCAACCCUUGUCCUUAGUUACCAGCACGUUAUGGUGGGCACUCUAAGGAGACUGCCGGUGACAAACCGGAGGAAGGUGGGGAUGACGUCAAGUCAUCAUGGCCCUUACGGCCUGGGCUACACACGUGCUACAAUGGUCGGUACAGAGGGUUGCCAAGCCGCGAGGUGGAGCUAAUCCCAUAAAACCGAUCGUAGUCCGGAUCGCAGUCUGCAACUCGACUGCGUGAAGUCGGAAUCGCUAGUAAUCGCGAAUCAGAAUGUCGCGGUGAAUACGUUCCCGGGCCUUGUACACACCGCCCGUCACACCAUGGGAGUGGGUUGCACCAGAAGUAGCUAGUCUAACUCUUACGCGUAACACACAUAGCCAGGAGUAACGCCCCCCCCCC